ACAGACGGUCUUUACAAGCGACUCGUGGGCGUCAAUACUGGGCUGAGUUUGUGGCGCGCUUAGUGAUGGGAUGGCCCUGUGCAGGACGCCGACACGAAAAGAUGAAGAGUUCAAUCCGUGCUGUCUGAACUCACAGUGUAGCAGGCGAGAUAGACGGGAAGAUCGGUAGGGUGGGAGAUGCCGGAAAGGCUUCCCGUGAGACUGGAUAAGAAAUCAAAAAUCUGGUGAAAUUGCCGGCAAGAGGGAGUUAAGGACAUUCCAGGCAGAGGCAAGUCCAGAUUCCUAAGAUGAGGACACAGCAUCCUGGGCCACUGUCACUAAUACAAAUUUGCCUCUGGAGGGACUCUACGGAAGAUAAUUCCCCUGAAAUUUGGAGAGUUGAAUUAAGCUAGGACUGAUUCUGGCUGGAAUUUGUGGUGGCUACGUACCCUAGAGGGCCUCAAGGAAACCCACGGUUCAAGACAGCCCUGACAGAUUCUGGAGUCUAGAACAGAAAUGGAUUUGAACAUGGGCAAGGCCAACCACCCAGUUCACGGCCUGUGUACAGCAAAGAUUACGUUACAGCCUGAGAGCUAAGCCUGGAAGCUCUUUCAUCCAUCCGUUUGUCCAUCUAUCCAUCCAUCUGCUCAUCCAUCCCUCCAUCUGCUCAACAAACGUUAGAGAAUCAAUCCUUGUGUCAGAUACUGGGGCUGCCCUCAAGGAGCUUUUAUAGAGUUCAGGGUACAGCCAGGUGGGGGAGACAGAUCACUAUAAAAACCUACCACUAUAAUCCAAAGGACAAGAGCAAAAAUAGUAAAGAGGAGAGAAGACCCAAAUUUGCCUGGUGGGUCAGAGAGGGCUUUCUAGAAGAGGUAAAAAAUCUUCGGGGCUAUCACUUCACCUUGCCUGGUGGAUAAAGGGAGGACUUUCCAGAUACAGUGGACAGAAUGUGCAGAGGCAGGAGCCAUGAGUGGCAGAGGCAGGGGAGGGACUGCAGAGACAGGUUGGAGCCAAAGCACGUGGCACUGGAGCCAUAGCCAAAGGAACAAACUGUGAGACCUGGGACUUGAAUUUGGAGGUGGUGAAAAGUGACAAGGUCUUCACAGAAGAGUGAUUUUUUCAACUUAGGGAAGGCUGACCCCAGACCAAUGCUGCCAAAGUGUGGUCUGUGGGCUGUUAGCAGUUCGUGACGAUGUAAGUACAGGAAUUGAGAUUAAGCAUUUAGAACACCUACAGCACUUUGAUAGUCAUUUUACUUUUUAAAUUUUGAGCUGGCAUUUUAUAUGCCUGGUUUUUUUUUGUUUUUGUUUUUUUAUUUUUUUUGAGACAGUCUCGCUCUGUCGCCCAGGCUGGAGUGCAGUGGCGCGAUCUCUGCUCACUGCAAGCUCCGCCUCCCGGGUUCACGCCAUUCUCCUGCCUCAUCCUCCCAAGUAGCUGGGACUGCAGGCGCCUGCCGCCUCGCCCAGCUAAUUUUUUGUAUUUUUAAUAGAGACGGGGUUUCACCAUGUUAGCCAGGAUGGUCUCAAUCUCCUGAUCUCGUGAUCUGCCCGCCUUGGCCUCCCAAAAUGCUGGGAUUACAGGUGUGAGCCACCACGCCCAGCCUUAUUCUCUUUUUCUAAUAGUUGCACUUUAUCAUAUUUUACAAAUGUGUGAGUCUGCUAUGGAUUAGAAAUUAAUAAGAGAUUUUGCCACAGAUAGUUUGAGAAGCCCAGCACUGCCACUCAACAAAUGCUGGUGCAUUCAGAUGGUGAAAUAUUCUGCAGCUAUUAAAGGAGUUAAAACUGCCUCCACUUACCUGGAGGCCCAUCUGUGACACCUUUUUAGGUUAAAAGGAAAAGAAAAACUUGCUUAGGACUGAAUAUGAGCGGUUGCAAUUUGUAACAAUGAUGUAUAUAUACAUAUACAUUUUCAUGUAUUUGUAUGAACAUAAAAGUAUUGAAGGAUAUUCAUCAAACUGCUAAAAGGGUUGCUUCAGAGUAACGGACUCGGAGAAGGCAGAUUAAUUUUCUCUUAAUGGAACUCUGUAUUGUAUCACUUGUAAAAAUAAGCAUGUGUUAUCUUUAUGAUAAAAAAGUAAAAACCUAAAAAAGAAAA
Molecule: long non-coding RNA, 2073 nt
Organism: Homo sapiens (human)
Lineage: Eukaryota; Metazoa; Chordata; Mammalia; Primates; Hominidae
Gene: CKMT2-AS1
Product: CKMT2 antisense RNA 1
Source: Ensembl